This 127-nucleotide small RNA is filed under the name Marmota monax (woodchuck). Lineage: Eukaryota; Metazoa; Chordata; Mammalia; Rodentia; Sciuridae. The record is from RNAcentral.
GCCAGGCCCGGUGGUGCACGCCUGUAAUCUCUGAGGCUUGGGAGGCUGAGGCAGGAGGAUCGCGAGUUCAAAGCCAGCCUCAGCAACUUAGUGAGGCCCUAAGCAACUCAGUGAGACCCUGUCUCUA